AUGGUGACCGGCUUUGGGUACAUCCUGGGUCUAGAUUUGGCCACGUCAACCUUCUUCACCCUUGAGCUACCAGUUGGAGUGCGGAGCAACUAUAUGCUUUCAUGUGCGGAGGGUUCCGGGAUCUAUCUUGUCAGUGCAGACGGGUUUCAUCUCAGUGUGUGGCUCCAUGGGAUGAUGGGCGACAACGAUGGUGCAGGCGGAUGGCUGCUGGUGGACACAUUUUGUGUCCGAUGUUCUGCUGGUCGCGAUUGGGUUUGGAUGGCACAAGAUGGUGAUUUUCUUGGUGUUGCUGCAGUCGGGGACAAUGCCGAGUUUGUAUUCUUGGAUUAUGCGAGAUAUGGUGUUUUCCUCUAUGUUCAUCUGAGAAGCAGGGUAGUUGAGAAGGUGCACGAGCAGGCACUGCUUGAUCAUCAUUUUAUUCGUCCGGGUAUGAACCACAUACCUAUCUGUCCCUUUAUGAUGAUCUGGCCGCCUGUUUUCCCUGCACUGAAGAACAGGCGACGUGAUCAAGAGCAAUGA
This 519-nucleotide ribosomal RNA is filed under the name Triticum aestivum (bread wheat). Its description in RNAcentral is "partial small subunit ribosomal RNA". Lineage: Eukaryota; Viridiplantae; Streptophyta; Magnoliopsida; Poales; Poaceae. The record is from RNAcentral.